UCCUUGCUGUGAGGCGGCGAGGCCCUGCCACAGUCUGCCCAGUGAAGGUGUGCAUUCCCCAUUCCUGGCAGGGUUCGAGGACAGGUUGGACUGGGCUCGGAGCAACCUGGUCCAGUGGAAGGUGUCCCUGGAACCAGCUGAUCCUUAAGGUCCCUUCCAACCCAAACCAUUCUGUGAUUCUGUGACUCUGUGACUCUAGCAUCCUGUGAUUCUAAGAUUCCAUGAGCAGGUCCCACCCCUUUACAACAGGUCCUGCCCAGUGACAACAAGCCCAGCCCAAGACCCCUCUCCCAUAUAAACCCCUCUUCCCACAGCUGUGCAGCAGAAGGUGCUGGACGGGGCACAGCGGUUGAGAGAUACUGCUGAAGAGACAUUCCUUUAUUUUCUGAUGAUCCUCCAAACCUGCCUGUGCUGUUCCCUGAUGUGCCAGCAGCUGGGAUUGGUAGUCCAUCACCGCCUGGCUAUAAACUUCAGUUGGACUGUGAGGUAAGGACAAGCUUUGCUCCUCAGGAAGAAGCCCCCCAGCUAUGCAGCCACCUUAUCCUUGUGACCUUGUGUGUCACCAUCUGCCAUGGGUUCACAGGUGAGAGCUAUUUCCUUUUCUUGGAGAGAUGAGUUUAAAGGUGA
RNAcentral lists this long non-coding RNA (627 nucleotides) under Taeniopygia guttata (zebra finch). RNAcentral describes it as "lncRNA (ENSTGUG00000020519.1)". The record is from RNAcentral. Lineage: Eukaryota; Metazoa; Chordata; Aves; Passeriformes; Estrildidae.